Long non-coding RNA from Camelus dromedarius (Arabian camel), 3780 nucleotides. RefSeq lists it as uncharacterized. The record is from RefSeq and is a predicted model, not a curated record. The transcript is spliced from 2 exons. NCBI's taxonomy places the organism in Eukaryota, Metazoa, Chordata, Mammalia, Artiodactyla, Camelidae.
CAAAACAAUCCCGCACCUCAGAAUUACGGCUGAGAAAGAAGACCUUGAGUGCAGCACUGAGGUUUACACUUGCAUUUUCCUGCUCAAAUUUCAGGCCCAGUUACUUGGAUUAAGCUAAUGGUUUCCAUAAGUGCGUGUAACGUUUAUACAGCGCAGUUCAAAGCAAGGGCCUCAGCCCUCCGACCCAGAGGUCAGAAGUGGUCUUGCAGCUUUCAGAUCUGCCUUUGGAAUCCCCAAGGGAGUCUGCAGAUACUCCUGCCCACCAUCGAAGGGCUGGCCUUACCCUUUGGGAUUAGAACCCGUUCAUUUAGUUCAUUCAGCAAACAUCUAUCAGAUGUGCAAGCUCUGAGACGACACUAAGGACACAAAGACCUCCAGCCCAGGAUGAGAACAGACCCACAGAGAGAACCCUAAAACACUGUGGCAAGUGCAGUAAUAUGGCUGUGUACGGAGCACUCCCGCUCUGAGAGCAUGUGGAAUGGAAAGGGAGGCAUACAGGGGAAGGCUUCCUGGAGGAGGUGACGCUCAACCCAAGUCUGAAAGGAUAAAUGAACUGGUGAAGCUUCAAGCUCUAGCUUGAAGAAAACUAGACACAGUUAAUUGCCUUCAAGUCCCUGAGUGGCUCUGGAGUGGGAGAAGAAAUAAAUACAGUUGAUUUGACGCUCAAAAGCAGAGAUACAAAGGCAUGUUUCAACUCAGUGCAGAAAACAGCUGUCUCACGAUGUGCAUUCUUCAAAAAUGGAGUGGGCUAUGGGGCUAGGGAGUUCACUGUUACUGGAGCUAUUCAAGCAUAGGGGGCUACCACCUGCGAAGAGGUUGUAGAUGGGAGUUAGGAACCACGUGAGCAUCUCUGUAACAGUGACUUCUACCAUAGAAUAGGUUGGAUUAUUAUAACCUCAGCUGUUUGUGUCACGGGUCCCAUCCCCGUGCUUCGUAACCUCAUCUAGCACUUCGUCCUGUCCUUGCACACCAGAAGGAGAAACUAUUACCUGGAAUUUGGGAAUAAGCAAGCCCUACACAAAUGCGAAGCAACCUCUCCGUGAAUGAGACCAUUCUCUUUCCAUGCAUGGUGCUGUGACUAAUAAUGAAGACUGAAGACUGUACAGAUUUGUGGGGAUAAAAGGGAAAAGACUUCAGUGACUGUCACUGGAAGCUCCUGAGGAACUAGACAAAGGGAUAAAGUGAGACGUAAACACGGUACUCCUAAGAGGAGACCAGCCAUGUGUGCGCUGGCCUAGACGAAGACGGGAAGUACCUCAGCCUGUGACUUCCUCUCCGUACCUGUCACUUUCUGCCUUUUAUAUCAUAAUCACAAGGAAUUCCUUUUGCAGGAAACAUGACUGGUUCAUUAUUAAUCCUCCUAAGUGCUGAGUUCUUCUCCGUCAGCACCUCAUGGUCCACCCACCUUCUCCUUCAAGUCUUGGCUCAAAUAUCAACGCAGUGAGACUCUGCUCUGACUACUGUAUUUAAAAUUCCUCCCCUUACUAUCCCUCUAUCUUACUUAAAUCACGCCAAGAUAAGUAAUCUUAUCCGCCUUACUUAUUAUUUAUUGACUCUCUCUCCCUGAUAAAGGAGGAGCCUGGAGAGAGCAGGCUUGCGGUCUGCGCUGUUCCCUGGGUAUCCCUGGAGCCUCCGACGGUGCCUGGCUCCUGGCAGUGAUGGGAAGAUCCAUGAGAAACAGCAGGCGGGCGGCACUGCAGGAUGAAUGGAAGGAGGGCGGGUCCGUGCUUGGACUCUGGCCCUCAGCCUCCCCUAAGAGUGCUCUGGAACCCAUCCCCGCCCCCACUGCAUCCACUGUGUACUGGCACAAGACAGACCUGGGGUUGGCAGAGAAGAGCCAUUUUGUUCAAAUGAUCAAGAAACCUUUUUCUUUUUUCUUGCUUGUGCUGAAGCAGAAGCAGAUACUAUUAAUGACUUCAAGCUUGUCAUUGAAAUGUCAUAAAUUCAGCUUGAGCCCUGGAACUGCUUUUAAAUAAGCUACUUCAGGUAAGAUGUCCAGUGCAUGCAUCGUUUAGCUUUAGACUGCCGACCUUCUCUUCCGUGCCAACAUUUUCUCAUGACUGCAUGUUGUCUCAGCUUCCUUCUACUCACUCUUUUCUUUAUCCCUCAGGAAAUACCUUCUGUCCAUUAUUUUCUACUGAACAUGCUUGUGAAGGUCCAGUAGUUCAUCCCCAAAUCCAGCAUGCCUAUUGGAUCCUAUCCUCUGGGACCUUUCUGUGACACAUGGCACUCCUGUGGUUCCAGCCUCUUCCUUGGCUCGCAGGAGACUGUUCUAGAGCUGCAUAUCUAAGUGUGGAUGAUUUUCCACCAUGAGGGUGGCUAGCAGCACGUCCAGUCUCCUCCCUGCCUCCAAAUCAGCUUCCUUCCCUCUUCCUUUCUGAAUUCUCCCAGCCGUCAGGCAUUAAAACUACAUCUUUGAUCAUUCCAACCUUCUCUUCCUGGUAGACCAGUGGGUUUCAUAUAUGCUCAUUGUCCAUCCAACACUCUGAUGAAAGUCCCAGAAGCAACACAGCUACAGCAGACCUGCUCGGGAGAACUGUCCGUCUUGUCCCCACAGUCAUUUGGAAACUGACUCUGGGUCUAUCCAUGGAAUGAGUAUCUCCAGCCUUGCUGCUGGAAGUCACAGCCGGUGACCCAGAGUGCUGGCUCCCUAACCUUCCACUCUCGUCCAGGCCAGCACCUCAGACACCACGUCCAGAUUCACGUCAAAUAAGGACUUCUGGUGGACGUUCAUCCUGGGGGACCAGCUUGCCUGCCUAGGGAAGACCUACUCUCUGCUGCUUCCUCUGUAAGAAAACCCACGUGCGGGUCAGUUUGGGCUGUAGUGUUCUCAGGGAAGUUGAGCCCUUCCCUCGAGCCCAAGGGAUAACCAUGUCAGCCUAAACCAAAAAGGGUAAUCCCGUUGCUCUUUCCAGUGAUUGAUUUAGGGGAGAAAUGUAAAAUUUCUGGUGUAUGGGACCAAGACAUACGCUAGGCCCUUCUGUAAAUUUAUCUCCCUGAUAAUAAAAGGUAUAUGCUCGAGGAGAACCCUUCUGCCCACCUCUUGCCUUUGAAUGUGAUUUUGGGAAGACAUGAUAAUGAUACGUGUGGCGAUCAUAUUGUGACCUUAAGGCGAUAACCGAGGGAGGCUGACUUCAGCCAGGCUCACUGAAUUAACUGACUCUGCAAUUAUUUAACUCCAGAUUUCUUGUCAUGUACAAUUGUAUAAUGUCUUUAUUAUUUCAACAACUGUUUGUUGGAUUUUUGGUUCUGUCUUUACAACCGAGAGCAUUGUAACUGGUAACCCCCUCAACAACAUGCAAGAGCUCCCCAAUGAUUAAUGAAUCAAAUAUAAACUCUUUGCCCUAAUGUUCAUUGCCACUUGAUUCGUACGGCCCGAGUCUAAUUUUCUGGAGUCACCUGGUGCUGCACUGGACAGUUACCCUUCUUGCAAGCCAGACAGACACACUGCCAUCUCCUGACACACAUGCGUGCUCACGGCUUCACUCAGCACGUGUUCCUCACACGCUCAGCCUUCAGCUGUCAGUUCUCAAUCGCGUCCUCAUGCCUCAUCUCAACCCCCUUGCGUUUUCUUUGUAACCUUCUCCUGGAAUUUCUCCCAACUUGCUGUACUGCAGUCACUAACGUGCAUGCCUCGUCUCCCUCAACUGUAAGAUCCUCAAGAGCACAGAGGAAGUCUUACCCACCCACAUGCUCUGUGGUGCACGCAGCACAGUGCCCAGACACAAGAGGAACUCAGUAAAUGUUUGCUCAGCUAAAAUAAACCCUGAUUUGAUCUGG